Molecule: long non-coding RNA, 431 nt
Filed under: Pan troglodytes (chimpanzee)
Lineage: Eukaryota; Metazoa; Chordata; Mammalia; Primates; Hominidae
Description: long non-coding RNA NONPTRT005649
Source: RNAcentral
CCAGCCUGGCCACACGGUGAAACCCUAUCUCUACUGAAAAUACAAAAAUUAGCAAGGUAUGGUGGCACACGCCUGUAGUCCCAGCUACUCAGGACGUUGAGGGAGGAGAAUUGCUUGAACCCAGGGGGCUGGAGGAUGCAGUGAGCCAAGAUCAUGCCACUGCACUCCAGCCUGAAUAACAUUUUAAUGGCCAAUAUGGUGAACCCGUCUCUACCAAAAAUAGAAAAAUUAGCCGAGCGUGGUAGUUUGUGCCUGUGAUCCCAGCUAUUCGGGAGGCUAAGGCAGGAGAAUCGCUUGAGCCCAGGAGAAAAAAGUCCUGCAAAGGUCCUGUUAGAUUAGUUUGGUCCAAAGCUGCAUUCAUCCUUUAACCUCCAUGAACUCCCACUCUUAACUGAAAGGUCACGGUGGCAUUUUCUAGUCUGCUCGUACCA